UGGGAGUACGGCCGCAAGGUUUAAAACUUCAAAUGAAUUUGACGGGGGGCCCGCACCAGCGGUGGAGCAUGUGGUUUAAUUCGACGCAACGCGAAGAACCUUACCUUGGCCCUUGACAUGCAGAGAACUUUCCAGAGAUGGAUUGGUGCCUUCGGGAACUCUGACACAGGUGCUGCAUGGCCCGUCGUCAGCUUCGUGUCGUGAGAUGUUGGGUUAAGUCCCGGUAACGAGCGCAACCCCUAUCCCUAGUUGCUAGCAGUUCGGCUGAGAACUCUAGGGAGACUGCCGGUGACAAACCGGAGGAAGGUGGGGAUGACGUCAGGUCAUCAUGGCCCUUACGGCCAGGGCUACACACGUGCUACAAUGGUGCGCACAGAGGGCUGCAAACCCGCGAGGGGGAGCCAAUCUCACAAAACGCAUCGUAGUCCAGGAUCGCAGUCUGCAACUCGACUGCGUGAAGUCGGAAUCGCUAGUAAUCGUGAAUCAGAAUGUCACGGUGAAUACGUUCCCGGGCCUUGUACACACCGCCCGUCACACCAUGGGAGUGGAUUGCACCAGAAGUGGUUAGUCUAACCUUCGGGAGGACGAUCACCACGGUGUGGUGUCAUGACUGGGGUGAAGUCGUAACAAGGUAACCAAUCA
Molecule: ribosomal RNA, 642 nt
Filed under: uncultured Marinobacter sp.
Lineage: Bacteria; Pseudomonadati; Pseudomonadota; Gammaproteobacteria; Pseudomonadales; Marinobacteraceae
Description: bacterial SSU rRNA
Rfam family: Bacterial small subunit ribosomal RNA
Source: RNAcentral